UACGUAGGGGGCAAGCGUUGUCCGGAUUUAUUGGGCGUAAAGAGCUCGUAGGUGGUUCGGUAAGUCGGAUGUGAAAUCUCCAGGCUCAACCUGGAGGGGUCAUUCGAUACUGCCGUGACUAGAGGUCGGUAGGGGAGUGUGGAAUUCCUGGUGGAGCGGUGAAAUGCGCAGAUAUCAGGAGGAACACCGGUGGCGAAGGCGGAUCUCUGGGCCGAUACUGACGCUGAGGAGCGAAAGCGUGGGGAGCGAACAGG
RNAcentral lists this ribosomal RNA (254 nucleotides) under uncultured bacterium. RNAcentral describes it as "partial 16S ribosomal RNA". It matches the Rfam family "Bacterial small subunit ribosomal RNA", at positions 524 to 776 of the family's 1533-position model. The record is from RNAcentral.